Molecule: ribosomal RNA, 315 nt
Filed under: uncultured fungus
Lineage: Eukaryota; Fungi
Description: SSU rRNA
Rfam family: Eukaryotic small subunit ribosomal RNA
Source: RNAcentral
AAAGAUUAAGCCAUGCAUGUCUAAGUACAAGCAAAAAUAAAGUGAAACCGCGAAUGGCUCAUUAUAUCAGUUAUGGUUCCUUAGAUCGCACUUACUACUUGGAUAACUGUGGUAAUUCUAGAGCUAAUACAUGCAUUGAGCUUCAACCCUUGUGGAAGAAGCGCUUUUAUUAGAUCAAAGCCAAUCGGAUCUUCGGGUCCGUUUUGUUGGUGACUCUGAAUAACUUUGCUGAUCGCAUGGUCUCGUACCGGCGACGUAUCUUUCAAGUGUCUGCCUUAUAACUUUCGAUGGUAGGUUAUGCGCCUACCAUGGUUG